GAUUAUAGCUCAGGGGUAGAGUGCUCGCCUAGCACAUGGAAGGCCUUGGGUUCAAUCCUCAGCAUCA
RNAcentral lists this transfer RNA (67 nucleotides) under Marmota monax (woodchuck). RNAcentral's name for it is "tRNA.Ala". Lineage: Eukaryota; Metazoa; Chordata; Mammalia; Rodentia; Sciuridae. The record is from RNAcentral.